CGGCGGACGGGUGAGUAACGCGUGGGUAACCUGCCUCGUACAGGGGGAUAACAGUUGGAAACGGCUGCUAAUACCGCAUAAGCGCACAGUACCGCAUGGUACCGUGUGAAGAACUCCGGUGGUAUGAGAUGGACCCGCGUCUGAUUAGCUAGUUGGUGGGGUAACGGCCUACCAAGGCGACGAUCAGCAGCCGACCUGAGAGGGUGACCGGCCACAUUGGGACUGAGACACGGCCCAA
Molecule: ribosomal RNA, 238 nt
Filed under: uncultured bacterium
Lineage: Bacteria
Description: partial 16S ribosomal RNA
Rfam family: Bacterial small subunit ribosomal RNA
Source: RNAcentral